Molecule: ribosomal RNA, 685 nt
Filed under: Maladera affinis
Lineage: Eukaryota; Metazoa; Arthropoda; Insecta; Coleoptera; Scarabaeidae
Description: eukaryotic LSU rRNA
Rfam family: Eukaryotic large subunit ribosomal RNA
Source: RNAcentral
GGGACCCGUCUUGAAACACGGACCAAGGAGUCUAGCAUGUGCGCGAGUCAUUGGGAUUUUUACUAAACCUAAAGGCGCAAUGAAAGUGAAGGUCCGCCUUGCGCGGACCGAGGGAGGAUGGACCGUUCCGAGGGACGGCCUCGCACUCCCGGGGCGUCUCGCUCUCAUCGCGAGAAGAGGCGCACCCAGAGCGUACACGCUGGGACCCGAAAGAUGGUGAACUAUGCCUGGUCAGGACGAAGUCAGGGGAAACCCUGAUGGAGGUCCGUAGCGAUUCUGACGUGCAAAUCGAUCGUCGGAACUGGGUAUAGGGGCGAAAGACUAAUCGAACCAUCUAGUAGCUGGUUCCCUCCGAAGUUUCCCUCAGGAUAGCUGGCGCUCGCUUCUCGCGAGUCUCAUUCGGUAAAGCGAAUGAUUAGAGGCAUUGGGGUCGAAACGGCCUCAACCUAUUCUCAAACUUUAAAUGGGUGAGAUCUCCGGCUUGCUUGAACUGUGAAGCCGCGAGAUAUCGGAUCAGAGUGCCAAGUGGGCCACUUUUGGUAAGCAGAACUGGCGCUGUGGGAUGAACCAAACGCAGAGUUAAAGCGCCUAAAUCGACGCUUAUGGGAUACCAUGAAAGGCGUUGGUAACUUAAGACAGCAGGACGGUGGCCAUGGAAGUCGGAAUCCGCUAAGGAGUGUGUAAA